This 216-nucleotide long non-coding RNA is filed under the name Lathyrus oleraceus (garden pea). RNAcentral describes it as "Pisum sativum (pea) long non-coding RNA (PSAT_LNC013711)". Lineage: Eukaryota; Viridiplantae; Streptophyta; Magnoliopsida; Fabales; Fabaceae. The record is from RNAcentral.
AAUCAUCAUAUUAAAUUGAACAAACAAAAGCAACAACAUGUUCCAAAAUUGCAGCAGGGUAUCAUGAACAUCAACAUCCUCGUAACAGCAGCAAGCACACGUUCAUCAUUAAAUGUCCAUCAACAAAUCAAGCAAAACAAACAAUGGCAUAUAGCAGCAUAGCCUUGAACAUUAAUGUUUCUCAUUCAUCCAACACAACAUGGUAGUAGUAAGGCA